This 770-nucleotide small RNA is filed under the name Pongo abelii (Sumatran orangutan). Its description in RNAcentral is "retained intron". The record is from RNAcentral. Lineage: Eukaryota; Metazoa; Chordata; Mammalia; Primates; Hominidae.
UAUCACUAGGUUUUCAGAUCUAGGAUUUGAAGUGAAAUGCUUUAACGAUCUUAAAGCGGAAGAACUACUGCUCAAAAUUCAUGAGGUGUCAACUGUUAGCCACGCAGAUGCCGAUUGCUUUGUGUGUGUCUUCCUGAGCCAUGGCGAAGGCAACCACAUUUAUGCGUAUGAUGCUAAAAUCGAAAUUCAGACAUUAACUGGCUUGUUCAAAGGAGACAAGUGUCACAGCCUGGUUGGAAAACCCAAGAUAUUUAUCAUUCAGGCAUGUCGGGGAAACCAGCACGAUGUGCCAGUCAUUCCUUUGGAUGUAGUAGAUAAUCAGACAGACAAGUUGGAUACCAACAUAACUGAGGUGGAUGCAGCCUCCGUUUACACUCUGCCUGCUGGAGCUGACUUCCUCAUGUGUUACUCUGUUGCAGAAGGAUAUUAUUCUCACCGGGAAACUGUGAACGGCUCAUGGUACAUUCAAGAUUUGUGUGAGAUGUUGGGAAAAUAUGGCUCCUCCUUAGAGUUCACAGAACUCCUCACACUGGUGAACAGGAAAGUUUCUCAGCGCCGAGUGGACUUUUGCAAAGACCCAAGUGCAAUUGGAAAGAAGCAGGUUCCCUGUUUUGCCUCAAUGCUAACUAAAAAGCUGCAUUUCUUUCCAAAAUCUAAUUAAUAGAGACUAUCUUAUUUUACAAUCUGUAUUGAAAAUGUCUUUCUCAGCCAGGCGUGGUUACUCACACCUGUAAUCCCAGCACUUUGGGAAUCCAAGGUGGGCGGAUCAC